AGACCCGAAACCCGGUGAUCUAGCCAUGGGCAGGUUGAAGGUUGGGUAACACUAACUGGAGGACCGAACCGACUAAUGUUGAAAAAUUAGCGGAUGACCUGUGGCUGGGGGUGAAAGGCCAAUCAAACCGGGAGAUAGCUGGUUCUCCCCGAAAGCUAUUUAGGUAGCGCCUCGUGAAUUCAUCUCCGGGGGUAGAGCACUGUUUCGGCUAGGGGGCCAUCCCGGCUUACCAACCCGAUGCAAACUGCGAAUACCGGAGAAUGUUAUCACGGGAGACACACGGCGGGUGCUAACGUCCGUCGUGAAGAGGGAAACAACCCAGACCGCCAGCUAAGGUCCCAAAGUCAUGGUUAAGUGGGAAACGAUGUGGGAAGGCCCAGACAGCCAGGAUGUUGGCUUAGAAGCAGCCAUCAUUUAAAGAAAGCGUAAUAGCUCACUGGUCGAGUCGGCCUGCGCGGAAGAUGUAACGGGGCUAAACCAUGCACCGAAGCUGCGGCAGCGACACUAUGUGUUGUUGGGUAGGGGAGCGUUCUGUAAGCCUGUGAAGGUGGCCUGUGAGGGUUGCUGGAGGUAUCAGAAGUGCGAAUGCUGACAUAAGUAACGAUAAAGCGGGUGAAAAGCCCGCUCGCCGGAAGACCAAGGGUUCCUGUCCAACGUUAAUCGGGGCAGGGUGAGUCGACCCCUAAGGCGAGGCCGAAAGGCGUAGUCGAUGGGAAACGGGUUAAUAUUCCCGUACUUGGUGUUACUGCGAAGGGGGGACGGAGAAGGCUAUGUUGGCCGGGCGACGGUUGUCCCGGUUUAAGCGUGUAGGCUGGUUUUCCAGGCAAAUCCGGAAAAUCAAGGC
This 844-nucleotide ribosomal RNA is filed under the name Salmonella enterica subsp. enterica serovar Amsterdam. RNAcentral's name for it is "partial 23S ribosomal RNA". It matches the Rfam family "Bacterial large subunit ribosomal RNA", at positions 711 to 1556 of the family's 2925-position model. Lineage: Bacteria; Pseudomonadati; Pseudomonadota; Gammaproteobacteria; Enterobacterales; Enterobacteriaceae. The record is from RNAcentral.